Molecule: small nuclear RNA, 144 nt
Filed under: Marmota monax (woodchuck)
Lineage: Eukaryota; Metazoa; Chordata; Mammalia; Rodentia; Sciuridae
Description: U2 spliceosomal RNA
Rfam family: U2 spliceosomal RNA
About the family: U2 is a small nuclear RNA (snRNA) component of the spliceosome (involved in pre-mRNA splicing).
Source: Rfam by way of RNAcentral
AUCGCUUCUCGGCCUUUUGGCUAAGAUCAAGUGUAUGAUGACCAUAACUGCAACAAUUUUCAUAAGGGUUUGGGUACAAAGGUAAACAAAGGUAUACAUAAAUAACUGAUCUAUACCAAUAUUAGAUUCUGUAAUGUACAUUAU